GUCCCCGUCGUCUAGCCUGGCCCAGGACAUCGGCCUUUCACGCCGGUAACAGGGGUUCGAAUCCCCUCGGGGACG
RNAcentral lists this transfer RNA (75 nucleotides) under Paracoccaceae bacterium. Its description in RNAcentral is "tRNA-Glu". It matches the Rfam family "tRNA". From Rfam's summary of the family: Transfer RNA (tRNA) molecules are approximately 80 nucleotides in length. Their secondary structure includes four short double-helical elements and three loops (D, anti-codon, and T loops). RNAcentral also lists the same sequence under 3 other names. Lineage: Bacteria; Pseudomonadati; Pseudomonadota; Alphaproteobacteria; Rhodobacterales; Paracoccaceae. The record is from RNAcentral.